Non-coding RNA from Peromyscus maniculatus bairdii (prairie deer mouse), 3621 nucleotides. The record is from RefSeq and is a predicted model, not a curated record. NCBI's taxonomy places the organism in Eukaryota, Metazoa, Chordata, Mammalia, Rodentia, Cricetidae.
CUCAGUGUGGCAUCCUUGCCCACAGAUACCACAAAAGCCUUUGGCCGCGUCAGGAAGCGGGGCGCCCCGCUGAAGGAGUGGUCCAUGGUGGCAGCAGGGUUGGGGGGUCUACAAAACGCAAAGAUGAAGGUCAUGGUGCUAUUGAGAUGAGCCAGUCGCCUGUGCCACAUUCGGCCCUCUUCCUUAUCUAACAGUGUUAACAGGAAACCCCAAUUCAACCAAACGGGCACCUCCACGUGGGCUGCCUCCUCCGCAAGUCUCAUUUUCCCCUCCACUCCCGAGCCACUGUGGUGGCUCCGAGGUCCAGCAGUUCACACUAGCCCUUUUCCGUGACUUGGAAGUCUAGCAUCUUUAAUUGCCUGAUGUACUUCCGCUCUACCCCAACUCCAGUCUCUCUACCCAAACCAGCAAGUCCUCUGGACUCCCAUGGGGACACGUUCUUCAGCAGAAAAGGAAAGGAACCCUGACCCUCACCUGAAGAGGUGGAGCUCAUCCUAACCGAAGUGCCCUUACCUGCUGGGCUGAAGGUUCCCCAGACACAUGGCAGGGCACUCUAUGACUCUUCCCACCAUCCUAUGCGUAGCCUGGGGUGGCCCAGCGUGAAACACGUGAACAAGACCAUGCAAACAGCCUCCCACACACAUGUUUAAGGGGAGCUGGACCCAGCCUCAGCAGGUCCACAGGCCCUGGAGAUUCAAGAGUGACUGAAGACUAGAGUUCUCCUAAGCCCCCAUGAUGGUGCCCCUGGGUCUCACUGUCUGCUCAAGGCCUGCAUUCUUUCCACAACUGUUACCAGUCAGUCGCACUGGCCACUAUCACUGGGUCACAAUGACAGCCUCAGAGCCACUCGGCCACCCUGACAAGCAGGUCUUAGGCCAGAGAAGGGCUUCCAGAACUGGGCAUCUGUUCUCUUCCCUACCGAUGAGGAAACCGAGACUGUGACAGAAGCUUCAGGGACUCUAUCCCAGACAGGCCCCUCCUCUCGCCUGCUUUGGGCUGGAGGCACUGGACGUACGUCCUAAGCAGGAGGGUCCAGGUGGUCAUCCCCAGCCUCUCAGAGAAGCCUCUUCCUCCUUGGAAGUCAGCUCUUCCUCAACCCGUAGAGGACUUCUCCAACCCAGCAGGGCGGACUAGGAUGAACCAAGUGGGAGGUGACACACAGACACUGGCCAGAAGCAGAGGCUACCCCCUCCCUGGAACUCCACCUUGCUGCCCCCCCCUUCUCCUCUCCACCACUCCAGGAGCAGAACCAGCAGGCCUGUGGCCCCCAUGCCCUUCUAGAGCAGAUUUCCAAGGGCAGCCCCUGAGCUCAGCCUCACCUUAGACCCCAGGGCUGUGGCUUCCCCCGCUCCCCGGGAAAUUCUUUCCUGGAGUCAAGUGUCAGUACCCCUCUGGCUGUCCCCUCCACUGAGCCAACAGGCCCAAAAUAGCCCCAGCUGUCAGCGGGCAUCCAUCUCAGAAGAGCUGGGGGCAGGGCCACCAGACCCCCAGGCAGCAGGAAGACUAGGGGGCAACCCGGCCAGGGGUGGCACAGUGCUAGCCCCAGCCCUCCCGGAUCCCUAAGGGCAAACUGCCCCUUCCCAUUCUGAGGUCUCAACCAAGAGUCACAGAAGGGCCCAGGUCUGGCAUCCAGCCCACUCUCUUCUCAGGGAGGGGCCCAGGCUGACCAGACCCCUAAGGUCCCCAAGUUCCACAGAACACCAUGACCUUCAGCCCAUCUGACCUCCAGGAGCAAAAGUCGGUCCUCCAGUCAGCUCUGCCUCCUCACCUGUGUCUACCAGGGGUUGGGGCAGCGCCCAGGCAAGGGGCACAGAUGGUGAGUUGGGGGCUGCUGGGUCUUGCCUCCUUCCUGGGGCCCAGGCCGACGUGGUUCCCACCCAGCAGCCCACACUCCAGCCGGUUCUCAGACUGGACAGGGACGAAAGGACAGGCAAAGGCUAUCAGCUGAAGAAGGCUGGGCCCGCCCCUGCCCCACCCCCGUUUCUGGUCAGCCCAGCCCAGCCUAGCUCCAAAAUAGCCCUGGUGUCACUGUCCAGGAUUCAGUUUCACCCUCAGCCCCAAGGAGGCAAAGGGCAGGUGGUCAGGAGCAGGAAGACGCCUGUGUCCUCUCGCUGUGAUGUGGGCAGCAGGGAGAAGGGCAGCUGGUCCAGCUCUCCUCAGACCGGCAUCGUGGAGUGUGGUGGGGGACAGAGCGGAGGGUCCCAGGACGGUGUCGGAAGGUUCCAGUAAGCAGUCCUGAAGGCAGAAGUUGGCACUGACCAUGAAGGGGACCCAGGACCACCACACAGAACCAGGUCUACAUCUAAGGAACCACAAGACCACACAGGGGUCAAGGAUCAGUCCAAGGGGACACAAACCAACCCAAAGACCCAGGCGUACUUUAAAGGAACCCAUGGACACCCAAGAAAAGCCAAGGACCCGCGUCUGCCCUAAGAAGGAUCAAGUUUACCCCAAGGGGACUAGAAGAACCUGCUCUGCUCCCCACCUGGCCCUCCUGGGACCCAGCAGUAUAAGGGGACAGCCAUUAGCCAGGCACUGAUCCCUGACUCAUACCUACUCUACCAUGUCCACAUCUGUGACCCAGGCAACCUUGGUCUCUGUGCCAUGCUCAGGCUGGCUUGGGUCUGUAGUGACCUUAAAUGAGAGUGGAACCCUAAUAAGGACCAACCUAGCCAGGGCCAAGGGGUCUGAGGCUGGGGUUGAGCUGGGCACUGGCAGUGCCUUUAUGCCCCAGGCUGGGCUGUUCAUUCCCCCAGCGUGGACUUGGGCGGCACCUACUGCUUCAUGUCCGAGGAGGACUGCCCAUUCCCUCAAACCCAGAGAAGAUCCCGUCUAGGGAGAAGAUGAGCUGGCAGCAGGGGAGCCUGGGGCUGGGGGUAUCUUCUGGGCUCCUUGGUCUUUCCUGACCCUUGAGGAGCCGGUAUUGAGGAAGGCAUACAGCUCUCCCUGUGGGCCCCAUUUAAGGACAUGGGGAACGAAAGCUUGUCUCUUGUGUGUCACACACGCUCUAGCAUUUCUUAAAAUGUUAGGAAUAUAUCCACCGUUAGUCCAGCAAUGCCUCUCCUGGGGAUAUAGUCAGACCAAAAGAAACGAGUCUGAAAGGCCGCUGCACACCUCUGGGGGCGGCAGCAUGACCGCAGCAGCCAAGGAACGGAAACAACCAAGCGUUCAUCAACUGACCGGGGAUAAAAAAGUGUGUCCGUUGUCAUUUGUUACCCUCGGGGAGUUAGCUCCAGGACCCCUUCCCCACCCACUGAUGCCAAAAUCCACAGAUGUUCAAGUCCUUGAUUCAAAAUGGCUUAGGGAUUGCAAAGAACUUCCAUAUACCCUCCUUCCCUUCCUGGUUCCCUUCCUCACUCCCUGCUCCUCCCUUCCUUCUUCUUUCCUUGGCUUUUUGAUACAGGGUCUUACAACAUAGCCCAGGCUAGCCUCACACUCCCAGUCAGUCCACCUGCUUCAGCCUCCUAGUGCUGGAAUUACAGCUUUGUGCCGCUACAUCCAGCUUCUCUCAUGUAACUUAAUUCAUCUCUGGCUGACUGGUAAUGCCUCAUACAGUGUAAGAGCUGUGUAAACAACUGUCUGUUUUGCUUAGAAAUGAAUGACAAGAAUAGUUCAUACAUA